RNAcentral lists this ribosomal RNA (253 nucleotides) under uncultured bacterium. RNAcentral describes it as "partial 16S ribosomal RNA". It matches the Rfam family "Bacterial small subunit ribosomal RNA", at positions 524 to 776 of the family's 1533-position model. The record is from RNAcentral.
UACGUAGGGACCAAGCGUUGUUCGGAUUUACUGGGCGUAAAGGGCGCGUAGGCGGGCUGUCAAGUCUGGGGUGAAAUGCCGCGGCUCAACCGUGGAACUGCCUUAGAUACUGACGGCCUCGAGGAAGGUAGGGGCAUGCGGAACUGUAGGUGGAGCGGUGAAAUGCGUUGAUAUCUACAGGAACUCCGGUGGCGAAAGCGGCGUGCUGGACCUUUUCUGACGCUGAGGCGCGAAAGCUAGGGGAGCAAACGGG